UACAGAGGGUGCGAGCGUUGUCCGGAAUCACUGGGCGUAAAGGGCGCGUAGGUGGCGACCCAAGUCGAUGGUGAAAGCUCGCCGCUCAACGGCGAGUCGGCCACCGAUACUGGGUUGCUGGAGCACUGUAGAGGCAGAUGGAAUUCCGGGUGUAGCGGUGGAAUGCGUAGAGAGUCCGGAAGAACACCGGUGGCGAAGGCGGUCUGCUGGGCAGUUGCUGACACUGAGGCGCGGACAGCGUGGGGAGCAAACAGG
RNAcentral lists this ribosomal RNA (255 nucleotides) under uncultured bacterium. RNAcentral describes it as "partial 16S ribosomal RNA". It matches the Rfam family "Bacterial small subunit ribosomal RNA", at positions 524 to 776 of the family's 1533-position model. The record is from RNAcentral.